GCGGGGGUAGCCAAGCUAGGUCCAAGGCGCCAGCCUGAGGCGCUGGUGGGCGUAGGCCCGCGUGGGUUCAAAUCCCACCCCCCGCACCA
This 89-nucleotide transfer RNA is filed under the name marine sediment metagenome. It matches the Rfam family "tRNA". From Rfam's summary of the family: Transfer RNA (tRNA) molecules are approximately 80 nucleotides in length. Their secondary structure includes four short double-helical elements and three loops (D, anti-codon, and T loops). The record is from RNAcentral.